UACGUAGGUGGCAAGCGUUGUCCGGAUUUAUUGGGCGUAAAGCGAGCGCAGACGGUUUAUUAAGUCUGGUGUGAAAGCCCGGAGCCCAACUCCGGAAUGGCAUUGGAAACUGGUUAACUUGAGUGCAGUAGAGGUAAGUGGAACUCCAUGUGUAGCGGUGGAAUGCGUAGAUAUAUGGAAGAACACCAGUGGCGAAGGCGGCUUACUGGACUGCAACUGACGCUGAAGCUCGAAAGUGCGGGUAUCGAAC
RNAcentral lists this ribosomal RNA (250 nucleotides) under uncultured bacterium. RNAcentral's name for it is "partial 16S ribosomal RNA". It matches the Rfam family "Bacterial small subunit ribosomal RNA", at positions 524 to 773 of the family's 1533-position model. The record is from RNAcentral.